UGUCCGACUUUGGACUAUCCUUGUUUUUAAGACCUGGUUACCUAUCUGUGCCUUAACAUAAGCAUCCGGAAACCGAUUCUUUUCAGGAAUAACCAGGUCUUGAGCCUCAAUCACAUUGACACGAACAUACCAUAGUCUUGGAGAAUGGUAAACUUUAGAGCGUAUGUGUGUAGAGAUAGUGGACGAACUAUCAGUAGGUGUAACUGCAUCAGAGUGCCAAGCAUCAGGAAAUGUUUCAUCAGCUUGAGUACCAUACCAGACAGCAAGCAUCAGCUCCCCAUUUACUUUCACCCCUUUCCUGUCUUCAAGCCUAUACCAUUCUGGUGCCAAUGGGCUAUCAGGUGGGACCCGUGUUGGAAUCUCAUUCAUAUCAAAUCUGACAAUCCCAACAAAGUCGUCCUUCACCAAAUCCUUAUCCUUAACAACAACUUCCAGUACAGAUGAUUGCAUCCUGUCCCUUGCAAAGGCAAACACUUCAUUCCAUUCAGGGUUACGCUGCUUCUCAAAGUAUUUUGUAAUUCCUUUGUAAUUUCCAACUCUUAUUUCAACAUAUGGGUCAAGGCUCCCGGUCACAUCCUUGGUGGGAAGAUCACGAGCUUUAACAACCCGUACAAAAAGGUACAUCAUCUUUUCAACAAGAUCGUAAGUGCUAGCUAUCCUGUCCCCACCUAUGACUCGCCCUCCGACAAUUUGCCCCCCUCCAAGGAAAGGACUAGUCUCUUUCAGUGCAAAAUCAGCAGGCUGUGAUGAUGAAUCAGAGUACAUGCGAACAAUUCUUGGAGCCUGAGGUUCAGAUCUUAUCUCAUUAGUCCCAUAAUUCAUUGUUUGCUGGGGGGCUGCUGCGGGGACAUGUUGCUGUUGCUGUGGUUGUGGCAUUGGCUGGGUAGGAUUUUGGAGGGGGUGGAAAGU
Molecule: unclassified non-coding RNA, 909 nt
Filed under: Hevea brasiliensis (rubber tree)
Lineage: Eukaryota; Viridiplantae; Streptophyta; Magnoliopsida; Malpighiales; Euphorbiaceae
Source: RNAcentral